AAUAAGAUCAUUUUUUAUACAAUGUUUUGACUCUUCGUUUUAUUUAAAAAAUUUACGAUUAAUAUUUUUAUUCUUGCUAGAUGAUAAAACAUGAAUAUUACUUUAUGCAUGACUAAUUUUUUAAAGUUUUUUACAAAUUUUUCAAAUAAGACGAAUGGUCAAAGGUUCGGCACGAAAAAAC
This 181-nucleotide microRNA precursor is filed under the name Oryza brachyantha (malo sina). RNAcentral describes it as "MIR812 microRNA precursor family". It matches the Rfam family "MIR812 microRNA precursor family". Lineage: Eukaryota; Viridiplantae; Streptophyta; Magnoliopsida; Poales; Poaceae. The record is from Rfam by way of RNAcentral.